This 73-nucleotide transfer RNA is filed under the name Anguilla anguilla (European eel). Its description in RNAcentral is "tRNA-OTHER". The record is from RNAcentral. Lineage: Eukaryota; Metazoa; Chordata; Actinopteri; Anguilliformes; Anguillidae.
GGCACGGUGGUGCAGUGGGUAGCACUGUCAUCUCAGAGCAAGAAGGUCCUGGGUUUGAAUUCAAACUGUGUGG